Molecule: long non-coding RNA, 1378 nt
Filed under: Trifolium pratense (red clover)
Lineage: Eukaryota; Viridiplantae; Streptophyta; Magnoliopsida; Fabales; Fabaceae
Description: long non-coding RNA (TPRA_LNC006104)
Source: RNAcentral
UACCCUGCUAAAUAACAAAACGGAGGUUAUAGAGAUUCCUAGAAGUGAUAUAUGGAUCAAUUUGGGUUAUACAAUUUAAUGGUAGUUGGGUUGUAAGAAAGUAUUAGGUGGACAUGAGGGAUUAGUCACAACAUUUGAUCACACAACAUAUUUGAUAAAAGGUAGAAAAAGAAAAUAAUUAAGUAAUGUGUAUUUUUUUUAAAUGAUUAAAUGAUAUGUAUUUUUCUGUGAAUGUGAUCAAAUAUUGUACCUAAAUGCUUAUGAUCAUAUAAAUAACUCUUUUACUUUCUUUGAAUCAUAUCAUAAUAGUUUUACAUGUAAAUAUAAGUGUGACAUUGAUGUGGUACAGUGGUGGUAGUAAUUUCUCUACAACACAAAAUUGGCACUAUCUAAAUUGGAUUUUUAUGUGAAUAAUUAUGGUUCCAUUAGACAACGUUACCCCUAGCUUUUGGAAAUAUGAAGCUUAUGAUGAUGAUGAUAUUAGUAAUUAAUUAAUAGAGCAAUUGAUUUGAUACUGAAAUGGAACUUGGUUGAUUGAUACUGGUGAGUCCCCUACAUGUAUACCAAUAGAUAUAUGUUAAUUAAGUUAGUUGUCAUGGAUAUCAAGUCUAUUUAUAUGAUAUUUAUUUUCGUAUGAGAAUAGCACUGCUAUGAGAAUGUAGCACUACUAUUUAUAUGAUAUUUAUAAAUUAUGAUUUUGGGUUUUAGGGUGUCACAUGUCUGAUUUAUGAUUUCAGGAAAGUUGAUUGAACCUACUAUAUAUGGUUCAGCAUCAGCAGGUAUGUUAUACUUUUCUAUGAUAUAUGAAACUAUGAACAAUAUGUGAAGUGGAGUUGGUUCUGAUGCAAUAGGGAUUUUGUAUGUGCAGUAGGGAUUUUGUGCGGAGUGUAUGUUGAUCUUAAAUAUGAUACUUUAAGAUGCAUUUUAUAGAUUGAGUACCCACUAGUUUAGUUGUGUCAUAUGAAAUGAUGGAUGACAAAUGUCUCAAAUAUCAUAACUUAGUAUACUCUGUUGUUUCUCUUUGGAAGGGAGUGGCAUUUAUUCUUUGAAAUAGCAAAAUUUUAUCACACAAAACACUCCAAUGCAUAUGAGGCCUCAUGUAUCUUUUUCGUGGCGUUUCAAUAGUGAUAGCCUAGCUAGAUUAUUGUUUAAUGAAAAUGACCAUUAUUGUCUAUGUAGAAUUUCCUUGUUUUAUUUCUUAUAUGGUCUUACAUUUGUGAAGGAAUCAGUAGGUAACCAUGAAGCAGACUCAUUACAAGGUGUGUUUACUUCGCAUAACACUAGUAACAAGGUAAUCAAUCACCUUUGUCCAACAUAGUGAUUUACCUACCCGGUUGUGUUGAGCAUUUUUAAAAAGAUGGAAACACUGUUUCAUCAA